UUGACCUGGCCGUGUUUUCAGCUUCACUCCUCCCACCUGGUGCAACAGUCUGUUGCCUGUCACAUUCCACACAUACAGGUGAGGAUCGGUGAACUGUGGGGAGGAAGCCACCAGCUCUGGCUGUGAAAAACAAGCACAUUCAGGUCAAGCACACCCAGGUGGACAGGCUGUCAGCAUGCAUCAUCUGAGAGGGAGAAGGGCCUGCUCUUAUUUUGCCUCUCACUGACAAUAGAGAAGAUACAGGAUGAGUAUGUCCUUAACCUAGUAUAAUGACCUGUGUGUUCCAGCUGUUCUGGUGAUGUCAUGGAAAAGGCCUGAUGGAUGAUCUUCUUUUCUAGCCCUUGAAAUUUCCUAGGGAGACCAGAAGACUUAAGGAAGGAACCACACCCAGGAGGGCUUAGCUUGGAAAAUAAGCUGCUUUACAGAAAACCCUGAGAGGCUGUUUUCCAGUUAAUUUGUCCUAGAAACUCAGUCUAAUUAUGAAACCAUAUCACUGCUCACUUGCCAUCUGUCAACCAGUUAUCUAGAACAUUAAACUGAGAGAACAUUGAUCAGGAUAAAUUCACCAUUUUGCAAUUUACAAAGUAUAAUUCAGACAAGAUUCAUGAAUCAGUAUUAAGACCAUUGGAUGAAAUGCUAUUGGGGAGUAGGAUAUUUAUAUGGUCUCAAAGUAUCACCAUCAGAUUACUUUUUAAUUACAAAUGGAAGAUACCUUUCAAUGAAGAGAUCUGGCAAAUGCCACCUUAACCAAGAAAUCUGGUGACGACUACUUCAACUAACGUCUUUAGUAAUGAAACAAGCUGACGUCAUGUACUUUCUGAUGUGAUACGCAUCGUCUAUGUACUAUUAUGUCCAGAAAUGGUUAACUGAAUCUAAUAAAGAAACAAUCAGAAAUCCAUGAGACAUUCUAUAAGCAACUGGCCUGGACUCUUCAAAAAAGUCAAUACUGUGAGGUUGGGGUCAUUGCUCUGAAUUAAAAGAGGCUAAAGAUACAUGAAAGCCAAUGUGU
This is a long non-coding RNA of Myotis lucifugus (little brown bat), 1009 nucleotides long. RefSeq lists it as uncharacterized. Lineage: Eukaryota; Metazoa; Chordata; Mammalia; Chiroptera; Vespertilionidae. The record is from RefSeq and is a predicted model, not a curated record. The transcript is spliced from 3 exons.